UUUCAUUCUCUUUGCUUUUGGCUAUGAGAACCGUGUUAUUUAUUCUCCUGUAAAUCAGAUUCUCUCUGCAGCUGCAUCUUUUCUUCAAUAGGCAAAUUAUAAAUACAUUUAGACAAAUUCGAUCGAGAUUUGGUUCGGGUUAGAGACUUGACAAUACAAAAAGCUGAUGAAGUUGUUUGGGUACGUGCAAGAGUUCAUACAAGCAGAGCUAAAGGGAAACAGUGCUUCUUAGUCCUACGUCAGCAGCAGUUUAAUGUCCAGGCUCUUGUGGCGGUGGGAGACCAUGCAAGCAAGCAGAUGGUUAAAUUUGCUGCCAACAUCAACAAAGAGAGCAUUGUGGAUAUAGAAGGUGUUGUGAGAAAAGUGAAUCAGAAAAUUGGAAGCUGUACACAGCAAGAUGUUGAGUUACAUG
Molecule: small RNA, 412 nt
Filed under: Pan troglodytes (chimpanzee)
Lineage: Eukaryota; Metazoa; Chordata; Mammalia; Primates; Hominidae
Description: processed transcript
Source: RNAcentral